CGGCGUCUUGCCCCCAACGCGCACUUUUCGUACCGACUGCGAACGCGGGUCAACUUUAUUUCAAAACUAAACAACUUCGGUCUUAAAGAUUACUUCGAAUACCGUAAUAUCUUGGUCUGAAAAGUUUUAAAGUUUCAUUUGGAAGUGGAAUCGAAGCCAGGAACACCACGAACACACUGGCAUUAUUAUUUCUUUCGGCUCCGUCUUCGGGAGUUCGAGUAUUCCACGAAGGACUAUAUAAAGGCUCUAUAUAACCUCGUUCCGGAAAAUCUUUCUCUUCGAUUCCUAGAAUGCCUCAUUAAUGGCAGUCCAGAAAUCUACAAGAAGGAUCAUCUACACUCGCUUGAAACUAGAGUAUGAAAUCGAUAGUAAAUCCGAAGCCGUCUUGAAACUUUUUUGUGACUAUUCCGUGAUGAAAAAAUAUGAAGUGAAGGAAUGCUUGGAAAGAGAAGGCGGAAGACAACAUACAAUAUUUAAAUCGUCUUUAUUAUUUUAAUUAGGAAAGUCUCAACAAUCGACCGGGAGAUGAGGAAUUCUAGCAAUAUGUCGAACUGCUAAAUUUUGUUUGAUUAAUGGACAAACCAUUGACGCAUCUCUCUCACGGAAUUAUGCAAAUUUCUCGGUGUUUUGACGAUAAUUGGAAUGCCGUAAUUAUUUUUGAAAAAUAAAUGAAUA
This is a long non-coding RNA of Centruroides sculpturatus (bark scorpion), 675 nucleotides long. RefSeq lists it as uncharacterized. NCBI's taxonomy places the organism in Eukaryota, Metazoa, Arthropoda, Arachnida, Scorpiones, Buthidae. The transcript has 5 exons. The record is from RefSeq and is a predicted model, not a curated record.